This 233-nucleotide ribosomal RNA is filed under the name uncultured bacterium. Its description in RNAcentral is "partial 16S ribosomal RNA". It matches the Rfam family "Bacterial small subunit ribosomal RNA", at positions 15 to 240 of the family's 1533-position model. The record is from RNAcentral.
GAUCAUGGCUCAGGAUGAACGCUAGCUACAGGCUUAACACAUGCAAGUCGAGGGGCAGCAUCAUCAAAGCUUGCUUUGAUGGAUGGCGACCGGCGCACGGGUGGGUAACACGUAUCCAACCUGCCGACAACACUGGGAUAGCCUUUCGAAGGAAAGAUUAAUACCGGAUGGCAUAGUUUUCCCGCAUGGGAUGAUUAUUAAAGAAUUUCGGUUGUCGAUGGGGAUGCGUUCCA